This 497-nucleotide ribosomal RNA is filed under the name uncultured bacterium. RNAcentral's name for it is "partial 16S ribosomal RNA". It matches the Rfam family "Bacterial small subunit ribosomal RNA", at positions 28 to 507 of the family's 1533-position model. The record is from RNAcentral.
GACGAACGCUGGCGGCGUGCCUAAUACAUGCAAGUUGAGCGCUGAAGGUUGGUACUUGUACCAACUGGAUGAGCAGCGAACGGGUGAGUAACGCGUGGGGAAUCUGCCUUUGAGCGGGGGACAACAUUUGGAAACGAAUGCUAAUACCGCAUAAAAACUUUAAACACAAGUUUUAAGUUUGAAAGAUGCAACUGCAUCACUCAAAGAUGAUCCCGCGUUGUAUUAGCUAGUUGGUGAGGUAAAGGCUCACCAAGGCGAUGAUACAUAGCCGACCUGAGAGGGUGAUCGGCCACAUUGGGACUGAGACACGGCCCAAACUCCUACGGGAGGCAGCAGUAGGGAAUCUUCGGCAAUGGACGAAAGUCUGACCGAGCAACGCCGCGUGAGUGAAGAAGGUUUUCGGAUCGUAAAACUCUGUUGGUAGAGAAGAACGUUGGUGAGAGUGGAAAGCUCAUCAAGUGACGGUAACUACCCAGAAAGGGACGGCUAACUACAUG